AGUAGACGGGCGCACGGGUGAGUAACGCGUGGGUAACCUACCUCCGGGCGGGGGAUAACUACUCGAAAGGGUGGCUAAUACCGCAUGAGACCACGGGGGUCUUCGGAUCCUGAGGCCAAAGGUGGCACCGGCUUGCCGGUGCUGUCACCUGGAGAUGGGCCCGCGUACGAUUAGCUAGUUGGUGAGGUAACGGCUCACCAAGGCUGCGAUCGUUAGCUGGUCUGAGAGGAUGGCCAGCCACACUGGAACUGAAACACGGUCCAGACUCCUACGGGAGGCAGCAGUCGGGAAUUUUGCGCAAUGGACGAAAGUCUGACGCAGCAACGCCGCGUGAGGGAUGACGGCCUUCGGGUUGUAAACCUCUUUUGUCAGGGACGAUGAUGACGGUACCUGACGAAUAAGCCACGGCUAACUACGUGCCAGCAGCCGCGGUAA
Molecule: ribosomal RNA, 435 nt
Filed under: uncultured Syntrophaceae bacterium
Lineage: Bacteria; Pseudomonadati; Thermodesulfobacteriota; Syntrophia; Syntrophales; Syntrophaceae
Description: bacterial SSU rRNA
Rfam family: Bacterial small subunit ribosomal RNA
Source: RNAcentral